Cucumis melo (muskmelon) is the source of this 2363-nucleotide RNA transcript. RefSeq lists it as uncharacterized. The transcript has 10 exons. NCBI's taxonomy places the organism in Eukaryota, Viridiplantae, Streptophyta, Magnoliopsida, Cucurbitales, Cucurbitaceae. The record is from RefSeq and is a predicted model, not a curated record.
CAACAAAAAAUAGUAUUUGAAAUGUUCGAAAUAUAUAUAUGUAUGAUCAUGAAUGUGAAAUUUUAGUAUACGCCAUUGUUUUUGAGUUUCUAAUUCUCGCGGGGAAUGAAUGAUCGACUUGCUCUCCAAUUCGCUCAUUGUUCUCCAUCUCUAAGCCAUUUCCCUUCGCUUCGCAUACAAAUCUACUUUACGUUUCAGUUUCAGCUUGCGUUUACUUUCUCUUUCUGUAUUGCCUACUCUUCUGUUUUUUCCGGCUCCGGCCAAUAUCUCCGAUCAACGCAUCGUCGAAUUGUAGAAUGUCGAAUUCCAUGUUGAAUGAAGCUGAACCGAAGGAACUGCGCGAUGAGUCCGAUUUUGAAGUCAUCUUCUCCAACAGCGACUAUAUUUCCGUUUGUGGAUUUGGUUCUCUCCUCUCUGAGAGGAGUGCUCGAGGUACCUUUCCUGAACUGAUCAACUUUAGAAUGGCCAGAUUGAACGGCUUCAGACGUUUUUUCGGACAUGUAGCUCCUAUAUUCUUUGAGCGCGGCAUUGCUAAACCUGAAACAAAGUGUUUCACGACGUGCUAUUCAUCUGAAUAUCAGGAGAUUUCCAGCUUGUGUUCGGAGCCUUGCGAAGGAGAAAAUAUCAUCAUUACGGUUUUUGAGAUUAAAAAGUCCGAGAUUCCAGCGUUUAUACAGAGAGAGAUUGAGUUUCGAUUUCUUAUUGUUCUUCCUGAAACAUUAGACGGAAAGAUAUAUGAUAAACCAGCGGUGCUUUGUUCACGGUACACCGAUGAGGAGUUUUUCCAAGUGAGAUGCAAAGGGAAUAAGGACAUUUAUUUUCAUCAUUACGGUCGUCGUAAUAUUGAUAAGAUAUGGAGAGAUGACAUCUUACCAUGUCGCGUCUAUCUUCGACACUGGACAACCCUUCGUAAAUAUUUGACCAGUUACGGUUCAGGCAUUAUGGAAGAGGAGCCUCCAGAAUCCAUCAAGUUCCGGUAUGAUGGUUGAUAUUGUUGAACAAAAUCACUGCAAAGGCUUAUAGAUCCUUGAAAGCUUUGAGAGAUAUUGUGAGUGUUCUGCCAAUGGAGAUUGAAUGGUGGCUGCCUCCUGCCAUGAAGAUACAUGAGCCUGGCAGCCUCAUUUUGGAAUCCAAACGAGGCAUAUAAUGAUCAUUAAUCAUUGUUCUUGAGAGACGCAGCUUACUAUACAAUUCUCUAGGUGUCUCGUAUAUCCCAACUAUUUCCUGCAUACUCUCGUCCUCAUCGUCCUGAACUAAAUUAUCAGAAUUCGGUGAGGGAGUUGAAACAAUAUGCAUCGUUUUCCCUGGAGGAUAGAAACGAACAUUUUCCGAAGCAUCUAGAGAAGACAAUGGCUUUUCACUGCUUCCCUCGACAUCAGUCAACAUACUCUCCUCUUCUUCCUUGAUCUCCUUGGCUACUGUAGCCACUUUGCCUUCUCGAGUAUUGGCAUCGACCUUUCUUUCCUGUCGUUGCAGUUCCUUCUCCAAUUCAUACCACAACUCACCAUCUGUAAUGUCUUCGACAUCAGUCGAGGCGAUGAUUCUUUCUUCAGUAAUGAGGUGGUGUCGCUCUUCAUCUGUGUCAUGAUCUGAAUUAUCGUCACAUGAAGAGCUGCCAGACUCUGUCUUCUUUUUCAUUUCUAUUCCAUUAAUCGUAACUUCUUCGGAUAUGAGUGACUCGUGAUUUCUUUCCGUUAUCCGAGGAACUUCAGGCAAUUCCUCUGUGGGAUUGGAUAAAAUGCCACCGUUUCUUCUACGGGCGCCCAUACAAGACCAGGAAGAUAGAGAAGAGCGAGUUCUGACAACUGCGCUUUUCACGGCAGCCUAAAAAACAAUGUCAAUCCUAAUGUUAAAUCAAACAACAAAGCGUUAGAAAGAAGGAAAAAUAUUUCCAUUUUGAUGAAGAGAGAAACCUGGGUGGUAGUUGAGACUGGGCGGAGGAGGGCGCCGGCACCAGCAACCUUAGCUUUGGCUGUAGCAAUGGAUGGAAGGCGUGAGCCUAGAGCACUUGCGGAGCGAUAAACAACGUUGAGAACCCUUGUGCGCUCUACCUGAUCUCGUAAAUCAUUCAGCCAUGAUGAUGCUGUCACCUGAUCAUUAACCAAUCGUAAUGAUAAUAAUACCAUACAAGAAAUUAGAAAUUAGAAAUCAUGAUGUUAUACUUUUACGAUAAUAUAUUUCAAAAAUUUAUAAAAGCAUCAUCAAAAUGUGUGGAAUCAUUUUGCAUUUUGAAAGAUUAUCCUUUUAUAAUACUAAUGGGUUAUUCGUUCAUCAUAGUUGGAAGAAGAAAAUAAGAAAAGGAAAGAUGCAGCUACAACCCAAACAUAAAUAACAUUUAUAGAAAAAAGAAAAAGAAAAAGAAA